This 1343-nucleotide ribosomal RNA is filed under the name uncultured bacterium. RNAcentral describes it as "16S ribosomal RNA". It matches the Rfam family "Bacterial small subunit ribosomal RNA", at positions 28 to 1378 of the family's 1533-position model. The record is from RNAcentral.
GACGAACGCUGGCGGCGUGCUUAACACAUGCAAGUCGAACGGAAAGGCCCUGCUUUUGUGGGGUGCUCGAGUGGCGAACGGGUGAGUAACACGUGAGUAACCUGCCCUUGACUUUGGGAUAACUUCAGGAAACUGGGGCUAAUACCGGAUAGGAGCUCCUGCUGCAUGGUGGGGGUUGGAAAGUUUCGGCGGUUGGGGAUGGACUCGCGGCUUAUCAGCUUGUUGGUGGGGUAGUGGCUUACCAAGGCUUUGACGGGUAGCCGGCCUGAGAGGGUGACCGGCCACAUUGGGACUGAGAUACGGCCCAGACUCCUACGGGAGGCAACAGUGGGGAAUAUUGCACAAUGGGCGGAAGCCUGAUGCAGCAACGCCGCGUGCGGGGUGACGGCCUUCGGGUUGUAAACCGCUUUCGCCUGUGACGAAGCGUGAGUGACGGUAAUGGGUAAAGAAGCACCGGCUAACUACGUGCCAGCAGCCGCGGUGAUACGUAGGGUGCGAGCGUUGUCCGGAUUUAUUGGGCGUAAAGGGCUCGUAGGUGGUUGAUCGCGUCGGAAGUGUAAUCUUGGGGCUUAACCCUGAGCGUGCUUUCGAUACGGGUUGACUUGAGGAAGGUAGGGGAGAAUGGAAUUCCUGGUGGAGCGGUGGAAUGCGCAGAUAUCAGGAGGAACACCAGUGGCGAAGGCGGUUCUCUGGGCCUUUCCUGACGCUGAGGAGCGAAAGCGUGGGGAGCGAACAGGCUUAGAUACCCUGGUAGUCCACGCUGUAAACGGUGGGUACUAGGUGUGGGGUCCAUUCCACGGGUUCCGUGCCGUAGCUAACGCUUUAAGUACCCCGCCUGGGGAGUACGGCCGCAAGGCUAAAACUCAAAGGAAUUGACGGGGCCCCGCACAAGCGGCGGAGCAUGCGGAUUAAUUCGAUGCAACGCGUAGAACCUUACCUGGGUUUGACAUGGAUCGGGAGUGCUCAGAGAUGGGUGUGCCUCUUUUGGGGUCGGUUCACAGGUGGUGCAUGGCUGUCGUCAGCUCGUGUCGUGAGAUGUUGGGUUAAGUCCCGCAACGAGCGCAACCCUUGUUCACUGUUGCCAGCACGUUAUGGUGGGGACUCAGUGGAGACCGCCGGGGUCAACUCGGAGGAAGGUGGGGAUGACGUCAAGUCAUCAUGCCCCUUAUGUCCAGGGCUUCACGCAUGCUACAAUGGCUGGUACAGAGAGUGGCGAGCCUGUGAGGGUGAGCGAAUCUCGGAAAGCCGGUCUCAGUUCGGAUUGGGGUCUGCAACUCGACCUCAUGAAGUCGGAGUCGCUAGUAAUCGCAGAUCAGCAACGCUGCGGUGAAUACGUUCCCGGG